RNAcentral lists this ribosomal RNA (301 nucleotides) under uncultured bacterium. RNAcentral describes it as "partial 16S ribosomal RNA". It matches the Rfam family "Bacterial small subunit ribosomal RNA", at positions 509 to 807 of the family's 1533-position model. The record is from RNAcentral.
CAGUCGCCGCGGUAAUACGUAGGUGGCAAGCGUUGUCCGGAAUUAUUGGGCGUAAAGCGCGCGCAGGCGGUUUCUUAAGUCUGAUGUGAAAGCCCCCGGCUCAACCGGGGAGGGUCAUUGGAAACUGGGAAACUUGAGUGCAGAAGAGGAGAGUGGAACUCCACGUGUAGCGGUGAAAUGCGUAGAGAUGUGGAGGAACACCAGUGGCGAAGGCGACUCUCUGGUCUGUAACUGACGCUGAGGAGCGAAAGCGUGGGGAGCGAACAGGAUUAGAUACCCCUGUAGUCCCUGUCUCUUAUAC